RNAcentral lists this long non-coding RNA (554 nucleotides) under Pongo abelii (Sumatran orangutan). Its description in RNAcentral is "lincRNA". The record is from RNAcentral. Lineage: Eukaryota; Metazoa; Chordata; Mammalia; Primates; Hominidae.
GAAGUUUCUCCUCCUGUCCUGUAACUGGUUUUCACUCACUCAACUGAGAGAUUUCUUUGUUGCAAUGAUGGGGUCUAAGAUAACACUUCUGGAGGCUGCAGGCGAGAAACACAGCAGAUAUCAUCUUUUAUUGUAUGUUGUUAUUUGCCUAGCAUUAUAAAUUAAGGAGGAAAAAUAACAAAGAGCUUGAAGACGUGCACAGCUCACAGGCCCUGGGUGGAGGCUGGCGGCAUCAGACAGACAGAACCAAGACAUCUGAGGGGCAACCAGGAGGUGCGUGUGGCUGCAGAGCACACAGACUUGUCUUUGGACAAAAUUGAGAAGAACUCAUAAACUUCGCUUCUUCACUUCUGCUCCUCAGACACGCAUGGAUGAUUUGAACAUAUUAGCCUAACAAGAUGGAAGCAGGUUUAAAAUUUUAUAUAAGAAGUUACCUUUUUCAGUUGUGUUGAUGUUCCUUUCAGCUGGUCCUAUAGUCCCCCUCCUCAGGAAUGUCUCCCAGUGCAAGGACAAAGACUGAAGAGACUGCUAUAUUGAUGGACCCUCAAGCCAAC